CUCCCUGUGGCUCAGUUGGUAGAGCAUGGUGUUUGCAACGCCAGGGUUGUGGGUUCGAUUCCCAUGGGGGGC
This 72-nucleotide transfer RNA is filed under the name Salmo salar (Atlantic salmon). It matches the Rfam family "tRNA". From Rfam's summary of the family: Transfer RNA (tRNA) molecules are approximately 80 nucleotides in length. The record is from Rfam by way of RNAcentral. RNAcentral also lists the same sequence under 1 other name. Lineage: Eukaryota; Metazoa; Chordata; Actinopteri; Salmoniformes; Salmonidae.